This 86-nucleotide transfer RNA is filed under the name Hirsutella minnesotensis 3608. It matches the Rfam family "tRNA". Rfam says of the family: Transfer RNA (tRNA) molecules are approximately 80 nucleotides in length. The record is from Rfam by way of RNAcentral. Lineage: Eukaryota; Fungi; Ascomycota; Sordariomycetes; Hypocreales; Ophiocordycipitaceae.
GGUUGCGUAGCUCAGUGGUUAGAGCGACUGCUUUACAUUGCAUGUGAAAACGCAGCAGGCCGCAGGUUCGAUCCCUGCCGCGAUCA